CUUCUCCAGUGAGUACACAGACACGGGAACCUGCAGGCAGUGACUCACUCAGCUUCUCCUAGUAACAGAUGCUGGAGCUCCAUUGCAGAAUGAAGGUGAUGACCUGCAGCAACACAGAUGAAGAUCUGGUCACUGAUUUGCAUCCCUGAGCAGAGAAGACUAUGGAGCCACAAAGUCAAGCUAGCAACAACUUGAAAGGAUAACAUCUAUCAGAACUAAUAAGCACUAAUCUAGCGUGGAAGAGAUAGCAACCAACUGAGUCGACAGGCAGAGAGAGGAACAAAGUCUGGCUACAGCACACUGAGAAUCUAUACAAUUAUAAAUCAUAAAUUAUA
Cyanistes caeruleus (blue tit) is the source of this 335-nucleotide non-coding RNA. The record is from RefSeq and is a predicted model, not a curated record. Lineage: Eukaryota; Metazoa; Chordata; Aves; Passeriformes; Paridae.